CAGGCUGUUUGCUGGCCCUCCUACUCUUGGGGCAUGUGCACGUCUUGUCAUUUUUUGUUUUUCCAACUGUGUGCACACAUUGUAGACUCCUAGUUGAAUCAUGUAGAUUUGAUUGAGGAUUGCACUUUAUUGUGCUUUCCUUGCAAAAGGGAGUCUAUUCUUCACUACCUCUUUGUUUUGUUUUUGGGAAUGAUAAUAAUAAUAAAAUUUUAUACAACUUUCAGCAACGGAUCUCUUGGCUCUCGCAUCGAUGAAGAACGCAGCGAAAUGCGAUAAGUAAUGUGAAUUGCAGAAUUCAGUGAAUCAUCGAAUCUUUGAACGCAUCUUGCGCUCCUUGGUAUUCCGAGGAGCAUGCCUGUUUGAGUGUCAUUAAAGCUUAUCAAGACCAAUAUCAGUAAAAUGAUGUGGCCUUGGAUAAUGGAAGUUUUUUGCUGGCUUUGGAAAAAAAAGUCGGCUCUUCUGAAAUAUAUUAGUGGCAUCUGAGGGAGGCUACUUUUGGGCAUGAUAAAUUUGUCUAUGUCUUUUGUAGUUUCACAUAUGAGCUGCUGAAAAUUAUUUUUGUUUUUGACUUGACCUCAAAUCAGGUAGGACUACCCGCUGAACUUAAGCAUAUCAAUAAGCGGAGGAAAAGAAACUAACAAGGAUUCCCCUAGUAACUGCGAGUGAAGCGGGAAAAGCUCAAAUUUGAAAUCUGGCAGUUGUUGACUGUCCGAGUUGUAAUCUAGAGAAGUGUUACCUGUGCUGGACCAUGUACAAGUCUCCUGGAAUGGAGCAUCAUAGAGGGUGAGAAUCCCGUCUUUGACAUGGACUGCCUGUGCAUUUAUGGUGCGCUCUCAAAGAGUCGAGUUGUUUGGGAAUGCAGCUCAAAAUGGGUGGUAAAUGCCAUCUAAAGCUAAAUAUUGGCGAGAGACCGAUAGCGAACAAGUACCGUGAGGGAAAGAUGAAAAGAACUUUGGAAAGAGAGUUAAACAGUACGUGAAAUUGCUGAAAGGGAAACGCUUGAAGUCAGUCGCGUCGGCCAGAAAUCAGCCUUGCUUUUGCAUGGUGUACUUUCUGGUUUCUGAUGGGUCAGCAUCAAUUUUGAUCAUUGCAUAAAGUCUUUGGGAAUGUGGCAUCCUCGGAUGUGUUAUAGCCCAUUGUCGUAUAC
Molecule: ribosomal RNA, 1147 nt
Filed under: uncultured fungus
Lineage: Eukaryota; Fungi
Description: eukaryotic LSU rRNA
Rfam family: Eukaryotic large subunit ribosomal RNA (bases 571-1147)
Source: RNAcentral